AACGAACGCUGGCGGCAUGCCUAACACAUGCAAGUCGAACGAGACCUUCGGGUCUAGUGGCGCACGGGUGCGUAACGCGUGGGAACCUGCCCUUAGGUUCGGAAUAACUCCCCGAAAGGGGUGCUAAUACCGGAUAAUGUCUUCGGACCAAAGAUUUAUCGCCUUUGGAUGGGCCCGCGUUGGAUUAGCUAGUUGGUAGGGUAAAAGCCUACCAAGGCGACGAUCCAUAGCUGGUCAGAGAGGAUGAUCAGCCACACUGGGACUGAGACACGGCCCAGACUACUGCGGGAGGCAGCAGUGGGGGAUAUUGGAAAAUGGGCUAAGGGUUGAUCCAGUAAUGCCGCGUGAGUGAUGAAGGCCUUAGGGUAGUAAAGCUCGUUUACCCGGGAUGAGAAUGACGUUACCGGGAGAAUAAGCUACGGCUAACUCCGUG
Molecule: ribosomal RNA, 433 nt
Filed under: uncultured bacterium
Lineage: Bacteria
Description: partial 16S ribosomal RNA
Rfam family: Bacterial small subunit ribosomal RNA
Source: RNAcentral